Molecule: ribosomal RNA, 476 nt
Filed under: uncultured bacterium
Lineage: Bacteria
Description: bacterial SSU rRNA
Rfam family: Bacterial small subunit ribosomal RNA
Source: RNAcentral
AUUGAACGCUGGCGGCAUGCCUUACACAUGCAAGUCGAACGGCAGCACGGGAGCAAUCCUGGUGGCGAGUGGCGAACGGGUGAGUAAUAUAUCGGAACGUGCCCAGUCGUGGGGGAUAACGCAGCGAAAGUUGUGCUAAUACCGCAUACGAUCUAUGGAUGAAAGCGGGGGAUCGCAAGACCUCGCGCGAUUGGAGCGGCCGAUAUCAGAUUAGGUUGUUGGUGAGGUAAAAGCUCACCAAGCCUGCGAUCUGUAGCUGGUCUGAGAGGACGACCAGCCACACUGGAACUGAGACACGGCCCAGACUCCUACGGAGGCAGCAGUGGGGAAUUUUGGACAAUGGACGAAAGUCUGAUCCAGCAAUGCCGCGUGCAGGACGAAGGCCUUCGGGUUGUAACUGCUUUAUACUAGAACGAAAAGUACUUUAAUAACACUAGAGCUCAUGACGGUACUGUAAGAAUAAGACACCGCUAACC